CACUGCAACGUACGACAAGCUAUAGCGAAGAUGGCCAUGGCCAGGAGCUUCAGCCUCGUGCUCGUCGCCUUCACCUUGCUCUGCUGCUACGCCUCCUCCGUCUCCUCCCAGGGUAACUCGUCGGAUGGCUUCCUCUCGUGCCUGUCGGCGAGCAUCCCCCGCCAGCUCGUGUUCACGCCGAGCUCGCCCUCGUUCACGCCGCUGCUCAAGUCCUCCAUCCGGAACCCCAAGUUCUUCACGCCGAGCAUCGUCAGGCCGCUGUAUAUCAUCACGCCGACGAACGCCUCCCACGUGCAGGCCGCCGUGCUGUGCGGCCGCCGGAGCGGGCUGCGCAUCCGCGUGCGCAGCGGCGGGCACGACUACGAGGGCCUGUCGUACCGGUCCGUGCGCGCCGAGUCGUUCGCCGUGCUCGACAUGUCGAGCCUCCGCUCCGUGCGGGUCGACGCGCAGGCCGCGACCGCGUGGGUGGACUCCGGCGCCCAGCUCGGCGAGCUCUAUUAUGCGAUCGGGAAGGCGAGCGGCGUGCUCGGGUUCCCCGGCGGCCUGUGCCCGACCGUCGGCGUCGGAGGCCAUUUCAGCGGCGGCGGCUUCGGCAUGCUGCUGCGCAAGUACGGCAUGGCCAUCGACAACGUCAUCGACGCCGUGCUGGUGGACGCCAAGGGGAGGCUCCUGAACAAGAACACCAUGGGGAGCGACGUCUUCUGGGCUCUCCGAGGCGGCGGCGGCGAGAGCUCCUGCCCGUCCCGCCCAAGGUCACGGUGUUCAACGUCCCUGUGACCGCCAGCCAGGGCGCCGCGGACCUCGUCACCAGGUGGCAGCAGGUCGCGCCGGCCCUGCCGGAGGACCUGAUCAUCAGGGUGGUCGUCCAGCAGAAGACGGCCAACUUCCAGUCCCUGUUCCUCGGCACGUGCGACGCGCUGCUGCCGGUGAUGAGCAGCCGCUUCCCGGAGCUGCGGUUCAACCGCUCCGACUGCCGGGAGAUGACCUGGAUCCAGUCCGUGCCCUACAUCUACCUCGGCAGCGCCUCGACCGUGGAGGACCUGCUGAACCGGACCACCGCCGAGUCCGUCUUCAGCAGCGGCUACAAGGCGACGUCCGACUACGUGCGGCAGGCCAUCCCGCGGGACGCGUGGGCCAGCAUCUUCACCAAGCUCGCGCAGCCCAACGCGGGGCUCAUGAUCCUGGACCCCUACGGCGGGCAGAUCGCGGCCGUGCCGGAGGCGGCGACGCCGUACCCGCACCGCGCCGGCGUGCUCUACAACAUCCAGUACAUGAACUUCUGGUCGAUGGCGUCGGGGGACGGGGCCGUGCAGACCAGGUGGAUCAGGGAGUUCUACGCGUUCAUGGCGCCGUUCGUGAGCUCCGGCCCGAGGGAAGCCUACUUCAACUACAGGGACCUGGACCUCGGCGAGAACGUCGUCGUCGGCAACGUCAGCAGCUACCAGGCCGGGAUGGUCUGGGGCCAGAAGUACUUCAAGGGUAACUACCAGAGGCUGGCGAUGGCCAAGGGCCAGAUCGACCCCGACGACUACUUCAGGAACGAGCAGAGCAUCCCGCCAUUUGCCAAUAGCAGGUGAUCGAUCAGCAAAAUGGGCCGCUAGCUAAGUACUCCCUCCUUUCGGAAUUACUUGUCGCGGAAAUGGAUGUAUCUAGAUGUAUUUUAGUUCUAGAUACAUUCAUUUCCGAGACAAGUAAUUCCGAACGGAGGGAGUAGCUAGCUACACAUUUAUCUUUAUUUGUACAUGUAUUUGUUGAUAUUGGUUUGAGAUUGCUUACCACAAUUAAUGAUUGUGUGGUAUAUAUGUACAUGCAUUUGUAUCUUGAACAAAUUUUAUAAUAAAAUUACACAUUGUGUGAAAGUUCAGC
Triticum aestivum (bread wheat) is the source of this 1866-nucleotide RNA transcript. It is a transcript of the gene named berberine bridge enzyme-like Cyn d 4, with no coding region annotated. The record is from RefSeq and is a predicted model, not a curated record. Lineage: Eukaryota; Viridiplantae; Streptophyta; Magnoliopsida; Poales; Poaceae. The transcript has a single exon.